GGGUUGCAACCCACAAGCAGGGCUCUCCCAGCAGCACCCAGGAAGGCCACACCAUCACUGGGAACCCCUCUGACUCCUCCAGGAGGCCAGGCUGACCUUCAUGAGAGCCUGCAUGCCAGCCUGGUCCUGUCUAGACUCAUUCUGACCUUGAGAGGGGCUCCUCGCAGGGUGGGCAACACCACUCCACCUGGCCCACCUGACCGAGAUGCACUGCUAGAGGAGCAGUUUGUGGGGGCCUCGGCUUGUCCCCAUGUCUGCUUCUGCAGUCUGGGUGCCUGGUAGUGCGGGCAUGUGGAAGAACACCAGUCAGGAAGCCUGGGCUCUGGGCCACUUGCAGGCCAUCCUUAAAGCCAACCCCCAAGGUCCCAGGAUCCUCAGUGCCAGAGUUCUGCUUCAGAAAACAGAAGGCGAGCUUUUGUGCCCUGAGCUCCUCGUUUCAGCAAGUGGUGGCUCCCACUGCACCUCAUGGAGACCAGGGAAAGGCAGGCUUCAGAGCUGAGUGUCUCUCCAGUCCCAGGCCUGCCUUUCCAGGUGCAGCAGCUCUCACAUUCUUUGGCCUUUUAUACCUCUCGUAAGCAAACAGGAAACUGGUGAGACCAGCACCCCACGGAACAGAGGGGCCACACACCCAGUUGCCUGAGCACAGCAGAGCCUGUGCCUCAGCUAGGGCCCAGGGCACAUGUGGUUUUGACACAGGUGGCUUUGCC
RNAcentral lists this long non-coding RNA (707 nucleotides) under Marmota monax (woodchuck). Lineage: Eukaryota; Metazoa; Chordata; Mammalia; Rodentia; Sciuridae. The record is from RNAcentral.